This 2537-nucleotide long non-coding RNA is filed under the name Mus musculus (house mouse). RNAcentral describes it as "long non-coding RNA chr14:27430188-27432725". The record is from RNAcentral. Lineage: Eukaryota; Metazoa; Chordata; Mammalia; Rodentia; Muridae.
UUUUUUUUUUUAAUUGUUUAUUUCCCAAAUCUUUUUUUUUUGUCAUUUGAAUAUCUGAAGAUUUAGAAUCUUGAUUGGAACCGUGCAUCUGGGUAACCAACUCUCUGCACAACUGAGAUUAUGAAAGUAUAAAGAAAGUUCCUUUCUAAAUGGAUGACAAAGCGAAGGAAAUAGCAUGAGAAACCAUGCAGAGAAGGAUGAAGUUGAUCUUUGCCGGCUGAAGUGAAUGUUUCUAGAAAUACUCUUUAAAUGAUGUAAUACUUUAGGGUGUAGGGCAAGACAGUGAAUUCACUUGAUGUCGUUAAGGUGUGUAUGGCUGUGCUGAUACAAGAAAAGUUAGAUACUCAUCCCCAACCGCCAGUUGGUAGAAAAGGUGAGAAGUACUUUUAAGUAGGGCCUCAUAAUGUAGUAAGGGCUUAACAGUUUCAAGCUGUAUCAAACCUUUUUGACAUCCUAUUUUGGAUUUUAAAUGACUAAGGCUUUGAACAAAUCAUUAAAACAAGACUUUAAAAAGGGACCAGAAAACUGGCUUAGAGUCCUUUAGGAUUCUGUUUGAAAAUUUAGUAAGGUAGUAUGUACUUCUUAAAUUUCAUAAGCCAAAUCCAGAAGUUGCUCUAAAAUGACUGCCCUUGAACAUACUAAAAGUGGCACAGGGAAUUAGGGAGUAUAAACCUUAGCUGCUUUUUCCGUGGAGUCUGAUGUAUUCCUUGGGGGAAAUGAGAUAGUUUCCAUUUUGCCUAGGGAUAUGAUUUUUACUUUCUCAAUUGUAAGGGAGGUUGUAGUUAGAAAAACAUGGUAGGGUUUUUUUAAAUUUUUACUGAAAAUAAUUCUUAAUAUCUUACUGUAAAUCAGGCAGCAGUUGUUCAAAUAGUACAUAAUAGGGUCAAAUCAAAACUUUACAAAAACCAAAUAAUAGAAUCUCCUUAAGUUGUUCAGCCCUUCGACUUGAAAUGCUCCUGUCUCAGCCUUCCUGCUAGGUGGAAUUACAGGUGAUAUCAUGAUCUAUUAAUACAGCGCUUUCAAGUAACUAUUUUACCCAUCUCAGAUUUUAUUCUAAAUUGGGAGAAGUUAGUCUUUGAAUUUCAAUUUUAUAGUUAAAAACAUUGUCACUUUAGAACAGUUACAAGAGUCUUUUUCCUUUUUUUUUUUUUUUUUAAAGACAGCCUUACAGCCUUUUACAUAGUCCUGGCUGCCUUGGAACUCACAGAGAUCCACCUACCGUUCUCUUCAGAGUGCUGGGAUUGAAAAUAAGCAAUACCAGCCUUACCUGUCUCUGUCUGUCUGUCUCUCUCUCUCUCUUUAAACAUCACUUAAUUGGAUAUAGUGUGCAACACAGAACAAAUGGUUGGAAGGAAAACAAAAUAGUAUAGAGACUGUUAAGUUUCCUUCCAUCAUUGAUGAGAAGGUUUGAAAGUAUGUUUAGGAUUUAGCUUGGUACUAAUGGUCAUCUGACUUGCUAGUAUAAAAAUUUUUUUUUAUAGAUUUACCAGUCUUAACUGUUUUCUGGUGAAACUUAAAGUUUGGAUGUUAAUUUUUAAACAAUUUCUUAAAAUACCAUUCAGUAUAAUUUAUAGGCCAUGCUGCCAUCAAACAUGCAGCCAUCCUCUUGUCUCAAGUUUCCUAAGUGCUAAAGUUUCACAGAAAUAGGAACUUGUCCAGCUCUUGAAAGUUUCCUUGAUGACAAUAGCAUGAUAUCUAAAUGCUGCCAUUUUAGUGGUAUACUGGCAAGCAAUAUUGUACUUGAUAGGUUGUAGACAUUGCUCUUUGUACAUAAUUACAUCUCAACGAUUCUUUGUGGUAGGUAUAUGUCCAUUUUACAGAAAAACUGAAGUACUGAGAAGUCACUUGUCACUUAAUAAAUGGAAUUUGAACAUGUAUAGACAACUUGGAACUACUCAACUCUAGUGAGGUUAUUCCUAAUAGUCUAAAUUAUAUUUUUAUUUAGGGAGGCAGGGUUUAUUUUGGCUCACAGUUUCAGGGUAUAGUUGAUUAUGCUGAGAAGUCAUAACAGCACAAGCCUGGCAGAUAAUCACAUGACAAAACAUCUGUAAUCAGAAAACAGAGAUGAAUGCUCCCUCCUCCCCCAUGCUCCCUGUGAAUUCCAAGCUGGCCUCAAACUCAAAACUUGGAUACUACUACUUUAGCCUCCUAACACCGCCACGAGUGGCUUUAUAAUCUAGAAUUUAAGUUAGCUUUUUAUUUGACCAGUUGUGAAAUUGCAAAGUUUAGCAUAUAUUCAACCUUGGGGAGAAUUUUGAGAUGGAAAGAUUAUGUUCACUGUAAGUAAUGGCAGAUUAUAUGUUUUAGAAGGUUUUGUAUUUUAAGUUUUUUUCAGAGCAAAUACAGAUUUAUUUAUAGAUAGAACUCCCAAGAGUGGGAGGGAAGACCUAGGGAUAAAUACUCAUAUUUUACUGAUUAUGUAUGUUGUAGUUUAGAGAGCCACAAAAAUUGAAUUGGCCUGUAGAUGGAUCACCAUGUUUUAUUCUUCUAUAUCUAGUGUGUCAUCAAAAGUAAAUUAAACUUGAUAGUUGAAUUUG